RNAcentral lists this ribosomal RNA (504 nucleotides) under uncultured bacterium. RNAcentral describes it as "partial 16S ribosomal RNA". It matches the Rfam family "Bacterial small subunit ribosomal RNA", at positions 30 to 523 of the family's 1533-position model. The record is from RNAcentral.
AUUGAACGCUGGCGGCAGGCCUAACACAUGCAAGUCGAACGGUAGCACAGAGAGCUUGCUCUCGGGUGACGAGUGGAGGACGGGUGAGUAAUGUCUGGGAAACUGCCUGAUGGAGGGGGAUAACUACUGGAAACGGUAGCUAAUACCGCAUAACGUCGCAAGACCAAAGAGGGGGACCUUAGGGCCUCUUGCCAUCAGAUGUGCCCAGAUGGGAUUAGCUAGUAGGUGGGGUAAUGGCUCACCUAAGCGACGAUCCCUAGCUGGUCUGAGAGGAUGACCAGCCACACUGGAACUGAGACACGGUCCAGACUCCUACGGGAGGCAGCAGUGGGGAAUAUUGCACAAUGGGCGCAAGCCUGAUGCAGCCAUGCCGCGUGUAUGAAGAAGGCCUUCGGGUUGUAAAGUACUUUCAGCGGGGAGGAAGGUGUUGUGGUUAAUAACCGCAGCAAUUGACGUUACCCGCAGAAGAAGCACCGGCUAACUCCGUGCCAGCCGCCGCCGUAA